RNAcentral lists this ribosomal RNA (1244 nucleotides) under metagenome. RNAcentral's name for it is "bacterial LSU rRNA". It matches the Rfam family "Bacterial large subunit ribosomal RNA", at positions 1564 to 2818 of the family's 2925-position model. The record is from RNAcentral.
UGAGUACGAGAUGCUACGGCAUCGAAGCAGUCUAUGUCAUACUUCCAAGAAAAGCUUGCACUGUCAUAAACAAAGAAUGCCUGUACCAUAACCGACACAGGUGGGUAGGUAGAGUAUACUAAGGGGCGCGAGAUAACUCUCUCUAAGGAACUCGGCAAAAUGACUCCGUAACUUCGGGAGAAGGAGUGCCUUAUUUCUAAGGUUGCAAUAACAAGAUCCAAGCAACUGUUUACCAAAAACACAGGUCUCCGCUAAGUCGUAAGACGAUGUAUGGGGGCUGACGCCUGCCCAGUGCCAGAAGGUUAAAGAAGUUGGUUAGCAUUAGCGAAGCUGAUAACUGAAGCCCUGGUGAACGGCGGCCGUAACGAUAACGGUCCUAAGGUAGCGAAAUUCCUUGUCGGGUAAGUUCCGACCCGCACGAAAGGCGUAAUGAUUUGGAUACUGUCUCGGAGAGGGGCUCGGUGAAAUAGACUUGUCUGUGAAGAUGCGGACUACCUGCACCUGGACAGAAAGACCCUAUGAAGCUUUACUGUAACUUGAGAUUGAAAUUGGACUUUAUUUGCGCAGUAUAGGUGGGAGGCGUUGAGAAUAAUCUUGCGGGAUUGUUGGAGCCAUCAGUGAGAUACCACUCUUGUAAUGUUAGAUUUCUAACUUUGUAUCAUUAUCUGGUCAAAGAACAGUUUCAGGCGGGCAGUUUGACUGGGGCGGUCGCCUCCCAAAGGGUAACGGAGGCGCACAAAGGUUUCCUCUGAACGGGUAGAAAUCGUAUCUAGAGUGUAAAGGCAUAAGGAAGCUUGACUGUGAGACCUACAAGUCGAGCAGGGACGAAAGUCGGUCUUAGUGAUCUGACGGUGCUGAGUGGAAAGGCCGUCACUCAACGGAUAAAAGUUACUCUAGGAUAACAGGCUGAUCUCCCCCAAGAGUUCACAUCGACGGGGAGGUUUGGCACCUCGAUGUCGGCUCAUCGCAUCCUGGGGCGGUAGUCCGUCCCAAGGGUUGGGCUGUUCGCCCAUGAAAGCGGUACGCGAGCUGGGUUCAGAACGUCGUGAGACAGUUCGGUCCAUAUCCGGUGUAGGCGUUAGAAUAUUGAGAGGAGCCUUCUCUAGUACGAGAGGACCGAGAAGGACAUACCUCUGGUGUACCAGUUAUCGUGCCAACGGUAAACGCUGGGUAGCUAUGUAUGGAGUGGAUAACCGCUGAAAGCAUCUAAGUGGGAAGCCCACCUCAAGAUAAGUAUUCUCAUC